Molecule: ribosomal RNA, 207 nt
Filed under: uncultured Mesotoga sp.
Lineage: Bacteria; Thermotogati; Thermotogota; Thermotogae; Kosmotogales; Kosmotogaceae
Description: partial 16S ribosomal RNA
Rfam family: Bacterial small subunit ribosomal RNA
Source: RNAcentral
AGCGUAGGUGGCCUAACAUGUCAACUGUGAAAACCCGGAGCUCAACUCCGGACUUGCAGUUGAAACUGGUAGGCUUGAGGACGGUAGAGGAAGACGGAACUGCCAGUGUAGGGGUAAAAUCCUUAGAUAUUGGCAGGAACGCCGGUGACGAAGGUGGUUUUCUGGGCCGGUUCUGACACUGGUGCUCGAAAGCCAGGGGAGCGAACG